RNAcentral lists this ribosomal RNA (399 nucleotides) under uncultured bacterium. RNAcentral's name for it is "bacterial SSU rRNA". It matches the Rfam family "Bacterial small subunit ribosomal RNA", at positions 362 to 776 of the family's 1533-position model. The record is from RNAcentral.
UAUUGCACAAUGGGCGCAAGCCAGAUGCAGCAACGCCGCGUGAGCGAAGAAGGUCUUCGGAUCGUAAAGCUCCGUCCUUGAGGAAGAAGNAAGUGACGGUACUCAAGGAGGAAGCCCCGGCUAACUACGUGCCAGCAGCCGCGGUAAUACGUAGGGGGCAAGCGUUAUCCGGAAUUAUUGGGCGUAAAGAGUACGUAGGUGGUUUUGUAAGCGCGGGGUGAAAGGCAGUGGCUUAGCCAUUGUAAGGCUUGCGAACUGCAAGACUUGAGUGCAGGGGAGGAAAGCGGAAUUCCUAGUGUAGCGGUGAAAUGCUUAGAUAUUAGGAGGAACACCAGUGGCGAAGGCGGCUUUCUGGACUGUAACUGACACUGAGGUACGAAAGCGUGGGGAGCAAACAGG